This 762-nucleotide ribosomal RNA is filed under the name Caristianus fopingensis. RNAcentral describes it as "LSU rRNA". It matches the Rfam family "Eukaryotic large subunit ribosomal RNA", at positions 1267 to 1937 of the family's 3401-position model. Lineage: Eukaryota; Metazoa; Arthropoda; Insecta; Hemiptera; Achilidae. The record is from RNAcentral.
UCCGCUAAAAGGGGGUGUAACAACUCACCUGCCGAAGCAACUAGCCCUGAAAAUGGAUGGCGCUCUAGCGUCGUGCCUAUACCGGGCCGUCAACGGUAAAGUGGGUGGCGCCUGUCCGGUUCGCCGGGCCGGCGUUGCCGUUAAGCCUUGACGAGUAGGAGGAGCGCGGCGGUGUGCGCAGAAGGGUCUGGGCGUGAGCCUGCCUGGAGCCGCCGUCGGUGCAGAUCUUGGUGGUAGUAGCAAAUACUCUAGCGAGGGCCUUGAGGGCUGAUGUGGAGAAGGGUUUCUUGUGAACAGCCGUUGCACAAGAGUCAGUCGAACCUAAGCCCUAGGAGAAAUCCGAUGUUGAUGGGUAGCAAUCACCAGCUGGCUGUUUGCUCCUGUCGGGCGAAAGGGAAUUCGGUUCCUAUUCCGGAACCCGGCUGCGGAACCGCUUUCGGGCACUCGCCUGCGAGAGCCCGUCGGGGUGACCCAAGGUGACCCGGAGACGCCGGCGGGAGGUCCGGGAAGAGUUGUCUUUUCUGUAUAAGCGUUCGAGUUCCCUGGAAUCCUACAGAAGGGAGAUAGGGUUUGGAACGCGAAGAGCACCGCAGUUGCGGCGGUGUCUGGACCUUCCCCCCGGACCUUGAAAAUCCGGGUAAGGGCUACGCGGAACUCGCGCUGGAUCGUACCCAUAUCCGCAGCAGGUCUCCAAGGUUAAGAGCCUCUAGUCGAUAAAAUAAUGUAGGUAAGGGAAGUCGGCAAACUAGAUCCGUUAACUUC